UACGGGGGGAGCAAGCGUUGUUCGGAUUUACUGGGCGUAAAGGGCGCGUAGGCGGCGCAACAAGUCACUUGUGAAAUCUCCGGGCUUAACCCGGAAAUGGCAUUGAAUACUAUCUUGCUUGAGGGUUGGAGGGGGGACUGGAAUUCUCGGUGUAGCAGUGAAAUGCGUAGAUAUCGAGAGGAACACCAGUGGCGAAGGCGAGUCCCUGGACAACUCCUGACACUGAGGCACGAAAGCUAGGGGAGCAAACAGG
This 253-nucleotide ribosomal RNA is filed under the name uncultured bacterium. RNAcentral describes it as "partial 16S ribosomal RNA". It matches the Rfam family "Bacterial small subunit ribosomal RNA", at positions 524 to 776 of the family's 1533-position model. The record is from RNAcentral.